Non-coding RNA from Xylaria venustula, 114 nucleotides. Lineage: Eukaryota; Fungi; Ascomycota; Sordariomycetes; Xylariales; Xylariaceae. The record is from the annotation of a GenBank genome assembly.
UCCGAAUUGGUGUAGUGGCUAACAUUUGACGCUCUCACGAUCCAACCCUCGAAUUACAGUUUAGAGUUGUGUUGGUGUUCCGUCAAGCCCGGGGUUCGAUUCCCCGAUUCGGAG